UAAGGAAUAUUGGUCAAUGGACGCAAGUCUGAACCAGCCAUGCCGCGUGAAGGAUGAAGGUCCUCUGGAUUGUAAACUUCUUUUAUCUGGGACGAAAACGGGAUUUUUAUCUCAAUUGACGGUACCAGAGGAAUAAGCACCGGCUAACUCCGUGCCAGCAGCCGCGGUAAUACGGAGGGUGCGAGCGUUAUCCGGAUUUACUGGGUUUAAAGGGUGCGUAGGUGGGCUUAUAAGUCAGUGGUGAAAUCUCCGAGCUUAACUUGGAAACUGCCGUCGAUACUAUAGGUCUUGAAUUAUCUGGAGGUAAGCGGAAUGUGUCAUGUAGCGGUGAAAUGCUUAGAUAUGACAUAGAACACCAAUUGCGAAGGCAGCUUACUACAUAUAAAUUGACGCUGAGGCACGAAAGCGUGGGGAUCAAACA
RNAcentral lists this ribosomal RNA (421 nucleotides) under uncultured bacterium. Its description in RNAcentral is "bacterial SSU rRNA". It matches the Rfam family "Bacterial small subunit ribosomal RNA", at positions 355 to 774 of the family's 1533-position model. The record is from RNAcentral.